Long non-coding RNA from Eptesicus fuscus (big brown bat), 968 nucleotides. RefSeq lists it as uncharacterized. The transcript is spliced from 3 exons. The record is from RefSeq and is a predicted model, not a curated record. Lineage: Eukaryota; Metazoa; Chordata; Mammalia; Chiroptera; Vespertilionidae.
UCUGGAUAAACACAGCUACUUGGCAAUACAACCUUCGGGCGCUAUGAAGACUGAAUCCUGAGGAUGAACAGGAUGUUUAUGUUCUAAAGUAGCUUAUUUAUUUUGGCCCCCAUGUGAAUCCAAACUAUAUGACUAUUAGAUCAGCCAUUAUUUGUUUUUUUAAGGGAAAGAACCUCACUUUGAGAUGGGCAUGCUGGGAUAGAGAAAAGAAAAGGAGUUACUGAAAGCUUUGUCUACAAGUGUCUACAGGGAAUGCAUCUCUGACCACACCCGGUCGUUGAAGGAAGUAAAUGUGAAAGCAUCCAGCUCAGAGGUGGCAGAGCAGGUGCUGCACACACACUUAUUUAAUCCACUUACAGAUAACCACCCCAAGGGGUAGAAGUUUCUAUUAGUUUAAAAGAAAGCAAGAAAGCAAGAAAGCAAGAAAGCAAGAAAGCAAGAAAGCAAGAAAGCAAGAAAGCAAGAAAGCAAGAAAGCAAGAAAGCAAGAAAGCAAGAAAGCAAGAAAGAAAGAAAGAAAGAAAGAAAGAAAGAAAGAGCCUUUAGCCUCUUCAGUAUCAUCAGGGCAAACUCCACCUCUCCUCUCCCCCAAAUAUCUCGCCUUCGGGAGUUAGGACAUUUUGUCCUGUUACACCAACACCGUCAGCACCACUGACACUAGGCGCUCAGAGCACAGCAGCAGAGCUCAGUCCGCAGCCUCCACAGAGCCGAGAAGGAAGCCAAGACUUCCAUUUACAGGCCACGGGACACUCUCAUCGCAUGUCGGGCUUCACGGGAAAUGGGCUGUGGGAGGAGAUGCUGCAUGCCUAGUUGGCAUGUUCAUAUUGGGUGUCUGGAACAGGAGGCAGGUUUAUAUUUUCAUGUAUGAAAAACUGGGGGAAGAACAGUUUUCAUCUCAGCCUGAAAGACUGGUUUCAGGCUCUGAGAAUAAAGAGUUGGACAGAAGCAGGGUAACGUGUUUCUGAACAG